Molecule: ribosomal RNA, 542 nt
Filed under: uncultured bacterium
Lineage: Bacteria
Description: bacterial SSU rRNA
Rfam family: Bacterial small subunit ribosomal RNA
Source: RNAcentral
CGAAUCUUCCGCAAUGCGCGAAAGCGUGACGGGGUAAUGCCGCGUGCAGGAUGAAGCCCUUCGGGGUGUAAACUGCUGUCAGGGGCUAGGAAUUUCAUGACCAGCCCCAAAGGAAGAGCCGGCUAACUCUGUGCCAGCAGCCGCGGUAAUACAGAGGGCUCGAGCGUUAAUCGGAAUCACUGGGCUUAAAGCGUGCGUAGGCGGAUCUUCAGGCCUGUUGUGAAAUCCCACGGCUCAACCGUGGAAUUGCGAUGGGAACCGGAGAUCUUGAGUCAGGUAGAGGCGGGUGGAACGAUAGGUGGAGCGGUGAAAUGCGUAGAUAUCUAUCGGAACGCCAAAGGAGAAGUCAGCCCGCUGGGCCUGUUCUGACGCUGAGGCACGAAAGCGUGGGUAGCAAACGGGAUUAGAUACCCCGGUAGUCCACGCCGUAAACGAUGCGCACUAGACUGAGGGAGCUUGACGCUUUCUCAGUCGUAGCAAAAGUGCUAAGUGCGCCGCCUGGGGAGUACGGUCGCAAGAUUAAAACUCAAAUGAAUUGACGG